CCUGAUGCUGUUAAAUUUCAGGUCUUUUUAAAAAUUAAAACAGCCCUGCACAUAUGGGAUCGAUUUGCUUAGUGGUAUAAUACCUGAACUCUGUCAGAAAUAUCCAGAUUUAAAUUUCAUAAUUGGAGGAGAGGGACCAAAGAGAAUCGUUUUGGAAGAAGUUCGGGAAAGAUACCAGCUGCAUGACAGGGUGCGUCUUUUGGGAGCUUUAGAACACAAGGAUGUUAGAAAUGUCUUAGUUCAAGGACAUAUUUUUCUGAAUACCUCCCUUACUGAAGCAUUCUGCAUGGCGAUCGUGGAAGCAGCCAGUUGUGGUUUACAGGUUGUAAGUACCAGAGUUGGUGGAAUUCCUGAGGUGCUUCCAGAAAACCUUAUUAUUUUAUGUGAGCCUUCAGUAAAAUCUUUGUGUGAAGGAUUGGAAAGGGCUAUUUUCCAACUGAAGUCAGGGACAUUGCCGGCUCCAGAAAACAUCCAUAACAUAGUAAAGACUUUCUACACCUGGAGGAAUGUUGCGGAAAGAACUGAAAAGGUAUAUGACCGGGUAUCAGUGGAAGCUGUGUUGCCAAUGGACAAACGACUGGACAGACUUAUUUCUCACUGUGGCCCAGUAACAGGCUACAUCUUUGCUUUGUUGGCAGUUUUCAACUUCCUCUUCCUCAUUUUCUUGAGAUGGAUGACUCCAGAUUCUAUCAUUGAUGUUGCAGUAGAUGCCACUGGGCCACGGAGUGCCUGGACUAAUAACUGUUCUCACAGUAAAAGAGGGAGUGAGAAUAAUGAGAUAUCUGAAACCAGGUAGAAGAAAGCCUAGACUGUAAGAUUUUAAACAUUUGUAAUAGUUCUAUAAAGACUCUGGAAAAUAACCUUGCUUUUGGGGGUUUUUGUUUUUUUAGAGUUAAUUUAGUAAGUUAUGCUACCUCUAUAUCAUUCAAUAUUUUCUGUUGAGGAAAGAUAAAAAUUUAUGCAAUUCCUGAGUGUAGAAACUUCUUGCACUUAUUUAAAAUUUAGGAGAGAACAUUUAAGCCACUCAGGUAUGAAAUUUUUCAGACUACUGAAAUCCCUGUAGCAGAGAUGUUUUAACAUUAUAUUUUGAGAGCUUUGGGUGCUGAAGGGCCAAACGUUUUCUGGGCAUUUUUUGGCCAGUUUUUAAUGUUACACCAUUAGACACUCACCAGAUGUUUACAAGUUUUCUUUAGGGAACUACAACAAUUAUAUGAACUGUUUUAUAUCAUGUUCAUAUACAUUUAUUAGGAAUCUAAAUUGUGUCUUUAAACAUUUAUUAGGUUCACUCAGUAGGUGUUACAUAUAAUUAACAGGUUCCUUGAGUAAGAUAGUCCAUCAGUUAUGAGCACAUUUUGAACCCCUGCUCUGUGUAGAAUGUUGAACUAGAUGCUUCCUGCCAUUAAGGAGCAGGGGUGCAUUCACUCUUUGUUUACCAUUCAAAUGGCUUACUUCAUUGUGAUCGUGGUUGAUACGAGAUCAAUAUCCAACAUGCCAAAAAUGCUCAUGCCAGUUAAUGCCAGGAAAAAAGUCACCGACACACUACUAGUACUUUGUUCCUGUUGUAUGCAUUCUCCUAGGUAGAGCCUUCAUCUUCAGUUGUGUUUAUGAAGAUAUUUUUUGCUUUUUAAAUACUGGGGACCGAUAUCACUGUUGAUAGUGCAGAGAAACCCUCCACAUUUUUCAGUGCAUAAUUGAGUUUUCUAUAAAUGCCUUCGUGUUUUCUGAGCAGAAUGUACGAGGUGUGCCAUCCCAAAACCAGCUGCUACCCUGUCCUUUUAAUGUAAGUCAGUCCCCUUCACUGUGGCCUCGCUGAUGUCUGAUAAGUAUUGUCAGUGUGCAAAAGGCUUUACUUCAGAAUGUUUUAUUUAUAGCAAACUAAGUUGAAAAUUUUAGGAACAGUCUUUGUGGGUGGAUGUCAUUAACUGUAAUUGUUGUUGCCCAGAGCCAUGGGUUUUUUAACCCCAAAUUAUCCACAUGGUGUGUAUUAUGAAUUCUUUGAACUCUUACGGUUUUUGUGAGAAAAGGACUGUGAAUUCAAAACAAUGAGGCACUUGUGGGUGCACUACAUAGAUUCUGACAGUGUUGUGAUUCUGUAUAGGAUUUUUAAAAAUGACAACAUUCACAAAAUUUAUUACUUUUUAAAAAAUAACAUGCCUAUUAACUGGUUGCACUGAUAUAAAAGAAAUAUAUUUGUGUUUUGUUUGUACUAAAAUGCAAAAGCAAGAGUGCAAUUUUUAAAAUCUAGAAGUUAGGGGUUUUGUUGGAGAAAAAUGGACUGAUCUUUAAACUAUUCAGUCUUAUUGGGAUUUUUAUGCAUAGAAACUCACAUAUAAACAUGAAAUAAACAGUGCCAAUAUUCAUAGUAAAGUGAGAAACUAUAAUAUUUGGCCAUUAUUCUAUUCAACAGGUUUUAGAGGCACGCCACCAUUUUUUCCUUAUAUUUUUGCUUAAUUUUUUAAAAUUGUCAUUUAAUUCUUAAAUUCUCAUUUAUUUGAGAUGGAAAUAAGAUCUAAAGUUAGUUGCCUUUGCCUGUAAAACAUGUGAUUUGCAAAUUAUUAUUUUUCUUUUUUUUUUUAACAAAUGGAAGUAAAUUUGUUUCACUAAAUCUUAAUUUUCAACCUUUCUGGAUACCUUAAUUGUAACUGUCAGUGUUGCACUGGUCGGUAUGUGGAAACACAUUGCUCUACCCUGCUACUUACGUUGAUUUUAAAGUGAAUUUACAGUGAUGAAGAAUUUGUGAAAAAUAUAUUUCUUUUGAUGUUUCAAAAGGUUGCCUAUGAAAAACUGAUUUGUUAAAACAUGCUACGUGUCCAAAAAUAAAGACCAGAAUGACAUUUUGAUAAUUUU
Molecule: small RNA, 2847 nt
Filed under: Pongo abelii (Sumatran orangutan)
Lineage: Eukaryota; Metazoa; Chordata; Mammalia; Primates; Hominidae
Description: processed transcript
Source: RNAcentral